CAAUUAAAAGGCCGAAUUUUAUAAACAGAAAGAGGGAAAUGAGAAGUUGGGUUAACUCUUUGGGCCGAAUCCAGACCCGAAUUUGAUAUUCGGAGCCCCGGCCGGAAGCCUACUGAAUUAAUGAACGAAACAGAAAAAUGUCAACAAAAAAUGGCGUCUUCUUCCCUUACCUGCCGCGAGAUCGUCAACCUCCACCGCCACCACUACAACCGUGCUAUUCCGCCGCCGGAAAUUUACAGUUGUACCGCCGCAACCACUGACCGUAUGAUCUCCUGCGUUUUUUCUUAUUCUUAUUCCUUUAAAUUGGAUCGCCGUGAUUCAUUUCCACCCAAGCGCAAUUCGUGGUUGGGAUGCCCCCGAGCCACCGGUCCAGCCCCGGAUCCGCCUUCAGAGCAACAUCUGUCUCCAAUAUCUGAAUUAUUGACGACGUGAUCAAAAGGUAGGCUGUGGUCCCAGCUAGCAACAUGUCCAUACCUUAUCAGCAUCAAUGGGGGCACCCGAGUGCAGGUCUGCCUCGAUCUCAUUGGUGGACCAAAUGCGGCUAAUGAAUGAUCAAGAAAGAUGGAAUGCGACGGCCCUCUCUGUGCUGUUUCUGAGUCGUGGCAGCCUGUUAUUUGAUGGACCGAGCAAGUGAAAAAGGCACGUCCAUUUCCCCUUUUGGGUGUUUCUCAUCCUGGCUUUUGAGCAUGACCGUGAAAUUUAUUUUAUUAUUUAGUCUGCAAAUUUGGUUUAUAAUGUAUCACCACCAUAUCUACAGAAGUGGAGUGUGGUUAGCUGCUUGUCGUUCUCAUGCUUUUCUAUAAUCUGAGAUUAAUUCAAGUUUACUUAGGAAUA
Molecule: long non-coding RNA, 834 nt
Organism: Salvia splendens (bonfire salvia)
Lineage: Eukaryota; Viridiplantae; Streptophyta; Magnoliopsida; Lamiales; Lamiaceae
Exons: 2
Source: RefSeq, a predicted model, not a curated record